RNAcentral lists this unclassified non-coding RNA (225 nucleotides) under plant metagenome. RNAcentral describes it as "partial contains small subunit ribosomal RNA, internal transcribed spacer 1, and 5.8S ribosomal RNA". The record is from RNAcentral.
UCUCCGUUGGUGAACCAGCGGAGGGAUCAUUACAGGACUCGCAAGACUCCUACACCCCUGUCAACUUAACUAUAAGCACGUUGCUUCGGCGGGUGUCCCGGAGGGGGGGCUCCCUCCCCAAGACGACAACCCCGCCUGCAGCCUACUAUACUCUGUCUCUUUGCGUUGGCAUCUCGAUUACAAUCAAACAAGUUAAAACUUUCAACAACGGAUCUCUUGGUUCUG